This 253-nucleotide ribosomal RNA is filed under the name uncultured bacterium. Its description in RNAcentral is "partial 16S ribosomal RNA". It matches the Rfam family "Bacterial small subunit ribosomal RNA", at positions 524 to 776 of the family's 1533-position model. The record is from RNAcentral.
UACGUAGGGUGCAAGCGUUGUCCGGAAUUAUUGGGCGUAAAGAGCUCGUAGGCGGUCUGUUGCGUCGGCUGUGAAAACCCGGGGCUCAACCCCGGGCCUGCAGCCGAUACGGGCAGACUAGAGUUCGGCAGGGGAGACUGGAAUUCCUGGUGUAGCGGUGAAAUGCGCAGAUAUCAGGAGGAACACCGGUGGCGAAGGCGGCGCUCUGGACCGAGACUGACGCUGAGGCGCGAAAGCGUGGGGAGCAAACAGG